AGACAAUGGGCGCAAGCCUGAUCUAGCCAUGCCGCGUGAGUGAAGAAGGCCUUAGGGUCGUAAAGCUCUUUCGCCAGGGAUGAUAAUGACAGUACCUGGUAAAGAAACCCCGGCUAACUCCGUGCCAGCAGCCGCGGUAAUACGGAGGGGGUUAGCGUUGUUCGGAAUUACUGGGCGUAAAGCGCACGUAGGCGGAUUAGAAAGUUAGAGGUGAAAUCCCAGGGCUCAACCCUGGAACUGCCUUUAAAACUCCUAGUCUUGAGUUCGAGAGAGGUGAGUGGAAUUCCAAGUGUAGAGGUGAAAUUCGUAGAUAUUUGGAGGAACACCAGUGGCGAAGGCGGCUCACUGGCUCGAUACUGACGCUGAGGUGCGAAAGUGUGGGGAGCAAACAGGAUUAGAUACCCUGGUAGUCCACACCGUAAACGAUGAAUGCCAGUCGUCGGGUAGUAUACUAUUCGGUGACACACCUAACGGAUAAGCAUUC
This 484-nucleotide ribosomal RNA is filed under the name uncultured bacterium. Its description in RNAcentral is "bacterial SSU rRNA". It matches the Rfam family "Bacterial small subunit ribosomal RNA", at positions 366 to 869 of the family's 1533-position model. The record is from RNAcentral.